Long non-coding RNA from Andrographis paniculata, 1814 nucleotides. RefSeq lists it as uncharacterized. The record is from RefSeq and is a predicted model, not a curated record. NCBI's taxonomy places the organism in Eukaryota, Viridiplantae, Streptophyta, Magnoliopsida, Lamiales, Acanthaceae. The transcript is spliced from 13 exons.
AUGCCUCAGAAUAAAGUAUCUGCGGCACUUCUGUCAAUACAUCAUCAUCGAAGCAAGAGGGAGCAGCACGCGCUGUUAGGUUCGCUGGGGGUGGCGUUCCUAUCCCGGCGGGGCUUGUUUAACCGGUUGGGGGCGUACGAUCCUAAGCCAUGAUGCCCCAAAAUUUAUAUUGAUUCCUAGUUUUCAUUCCCAUGUUCUUCUUCUUCGAAACCCUAAUUUCUAUUCUCUGAUUCUUUGUUCUAUUCCCAUGUUCUUCCUCGAAGCGCUCUCGUUUACCUGAGGAUCGACCAAAUUAUAUGUGGAAUCGGAUGAGCGGCUUUCUUGGUUUCUUGGAGGGUUAGGGUUUGAUGGGAUUAAGUGGAUUUGGAUAUUUCAAUUUCAAGUUAUGGAAUUUCAAAAAACAUACAGGAAAGAGCGGUUCGACUCUGGCUGUUGUAUCAAUUGUUGCAUUUUAUUUCAAUUUCAAAAAGUGGAUGGUUCCUGCAGUGUGCAACAAAAGAAUAAAGAUGGCUCAUGAUGAUAGCCAACAGAAAUGAGUUGAGUUUGCUGAAUUGGCGGCGGAAGGGGAUAGGGCUUUAACGGCAGAGAUCGCAGAGAUCUCAGUGCUGUAUGAAAGAAAAGGGAAAUGCUUUUCCAGAUUUAGAGCUGCUGACGCUGGCAUAAGAUGGAUGUCAUGCUCUGUUCAUCAACUGCAAUGACUCACCAGGAAAACUACAACAACUAAUUUCUUCUUUCAAAUUGCGGGCGUAGCCUCAUAUGGUUGGAAGUUUUUAAGGUUAUUUGGUUUAGAUGAUUGGAUGUGGGCUUGGUUUUAGGCAUCCUGCAGAGUUCUUGGUGUGGAAGCAACACCACCAGCUGGUUACAUUUGCAUUUCCUCACCAACCAAUUAUUGCUUUAUUUAACUAAGUCGUAUUUUCCAUAAUUUUGUGCAGGAAUUGGAACCUAAGGCUGCUCUGCAUCCAAACACUUCCCAGUCUGAAGAAAUAGCAUCUAGUAAAUGCUGAAAGAUGGUCAAUAGUUUGCAUAGGGAGUGUAGGAUCUACAAUAAUUGAGCAACUAAUAAGGAAACUUGCUUGGAGCUUGUCCAGGUAUGUGUUAUGUUUUGAUGCCUUUCUCUAAUGUUCUGUGAACAUGUCAGUGGACUCUGGCAGAAAAUGGAUGUGAUGUCACAUUCAUCAGCUACAAUGACUCAAAGAGGAAAACAACCACAACCCAAUUGGUUAUUUGGUUUAGUCGAUGAUUGGAUACAGGGUUAGGUUUGGGCAUCUUGUGGUGUUAAUGGUGUGGAAGCAACACCAACGAUUAAAUCAAUCAAUAUGGCUGGAACUGAAACUAUGUCUGCUCUUAUCAUCCAACACUACCUAAUGUGAAGAAAUGGUGAAAAUGUCUCUCAGAAUUUAGAGCCACUGGACUUUGGCAUAAAAUUUUUAUGUGAUGUCAUAUUCAUCAGCUACCAUGACUCACAAAGGAAAACUACCGCAACCCAGCAGUUAUUUUGUGCAAGAAGCAAACUACAGCUGCUCUUUACAACCAACACUAGCACCAAAUAAUUGUUGGUCUGGCAACGUAGCGUUGGGCUAAAUUGUCUUGGUAGUGUGUGGUUGUGCUUAACAUACUAGACUUGUGGUCUCUUUUGUGCUUCUUGUGGUGAUGUUAGUUGUGUUUUUAUAUAGUAUGUUCAGUUUGUUGCGACAUAUAUUAGAUUCAAAUAUUUUGUUUAACUGAAUUUGUUUGUGACAAUGUUGUUUUGUUUGUGUUGAUUUUGAUAAUUUGUUUUGGUCUGAGUUUUUGCAUGUUAUGUUAUUUAAUCUAUA